This 492-nucleotide ribosomal RNA is filed under the name uncultured bacterium. RNAcentral describes it as "partial 16S ribosomal RNA". It matches the Rfam family "Bacterial small subunit ribosomal RNA", at positions 29 to 507 of the family's 1533-position model. The record is from RNAcentral.
AGUGAACGCUGGCGGUAGGCCUAACACAUGCAAGUCGAACGGCAGCACAGUAAGAGCUUGCUCUUACGGGUGGCGAGUGGCGGACGGGUGAGGAAUACAUCGGAAUCUACUUUUUCGUGGGGGAUAACGUAGGGAAACUUACGCUAAUACCGCAUACGACCUACGGGUGAAAGCAGGGGAUCUUCGGACCUUGCGCGAUUGAAUGAGCCGAUGUCGGAUUAGCUAGUUGGCGGGGUAAAGGCCCACCAAGGCGACGAUCCGUAGCUGGUCUGAGAGGAUGAUCAGCCACACUGGAACUGGAACACGGUCCAGACUACUAAGGGAGGCAGCAGUGGGGAAUAUUGGACAAUGGGCGCAAGCCUGAUCCAGCCAUACCGCGGGGGUGAAGAAGGCCUUCGGGUUGUAAAGCCCUUUUGUUGGGAAAGAAAAGCAGCAGGUUAAUACCCCGCUGUUCUGACGGUACCCAAAGAAUAAGCACCGGCUAACUUCGUG